CCUACGGGAGACUGCAGUGGGGAAUAUUGCACAAUGGGGGAAACCCUGAUGCAGCGACGCCGCGUGAGUGAAGAAGUAUCUCGGUACGUAAAGCUCUAUCAGCAGGGAAGAUAAUGACGGUACCUGACCAAGAAGCCCCGGCUAACUACGUGCCAGCAGCCGCGGUAAUACGUAGGGGGCAAGCGUUGUCCGGAAUGACUGGGCGUAAAGGGAGCGUAGGCGGUCUGUUAAGUUGGAAGUGAAAUCCCGGGGCUCAACCCCGGAACUGCUUUCAAGACUGACGGACUUGAGUGUAAGAGGGGUAAGCGGAAUUCCUAGUGUAGCGGUGGAAUGCGUAGAUAUUAGGAGGAACACCAGUGGCGAAGGCGGCUUACUGGAUUAUAACUGACGCUGAGGCUCGAAAGCGUGGGUAGCAAACAGGAUUAGAUACCCCAGUAGUC
RNAcentral lists this ribosomal RNA (440 nucleotides) under uncultured bacterium. Its description in RNAcentral is "partial 16S ribosomal RNA". It matches the Rfam family "Bacterial small subunit ribosomal RNA", at positions 338 to 795 of the family's 1533-position model. The record is from RNAcentral.